Long non-coding RNA from Lycium barbarum (goji berry), 1666 nucleotides. RefSeq lists it as uncharacterized. NCBI's taxonomy places the organism in Eukaryota, Viridiplantae, Streptophyta, Magnoliopsida, Solanales, Solanaceae. The record is from RefSeq and is a predicted model, not a curated record. The transcript is spliced from 3 exons.
UUAUUCCCGAUAGACCGCCCUAGUUUACACCAGAGAUAAAAAAAAUACUUCUUUUUCCGUUUUUUAACAGUUUUGGUGCAGGGUUUCUGGAUCUUAUGAUUCUUAAAGCAAUUGAGGAUUGUUUUUUCGAUUUUUUACUCAAAGGGUCUCUCUCUCUCUCUCUCUCUUUUUUUUUUUUUUUUUUUUUUUUUUUUUUUUUUUAACGGAUUUUGUCAGUUUUGAAAAUUUAGUACACCUAAUGAUUUUUUUUGUGAUCUAGUGAGUAGUCUUGAUUGUUUCUUUAUACCUAAUGGUUUUUUUUUGGUUCUUUUCACUGCGUCGGUGGGAUUGCUCUGUUUUUACUUGGCCAGCAUGGUGUGGAGGUAGUACCAUACACGUCUCAGACAGCUCCCCUAACCUGGAUGAUGCACUACCAGGCCAGGAAAGUAUCUUGUAACUAUUCUUAAUCUUGUGUUUUAGUUUUUUUUUUGUUUUUUUCUUGUUAUUUUUUAGUCCUUUUCACUGUAAUAAUGGGGUUGCUUUGUUUUACAAUUGAGAUAAAAAGAGUUUCUUUUCCUGAUUUUUAACAAUUUUAGUGCCUCUCUUGUGCAUCUUAUGAUUCUUGAAGCUAUUAAGGAUUGUUUACCGAAGUUUUUCCUCAUAGGGUGUCUGUUUCUUUUUGCGUUUUUGUCUGUUUUGGAUCCAAUCUUCAUGAGCUUUAGAUAAUUUUUUGGAGACAAUGAAAAUUAAAAAAAAAGAAGUAAAAGAAAUAAGACGAAAUGAUGUUAUUGUGAAUGUAAUACUCCCUCUGUUUUAAUUUGUUUGAACCUAUUUUCUUUUUAGUUCGUGUUAAAAUGAGUGAUCUCUUUUCUAAUUUGGAAACAAAUUCACUUUAUGAAUGAUUUAUAGCCACACAAAUUUUUAAGGCUUAUUUUGAACUACAAGUUUUAAAAGUUUUAUCUCUUUUUUAAAUAUCAUGUCUAAUUAAAUGAGUUCAUAUAAAUUAAAACGGAAAAAGUAUCUUUUAUGAGGGUUUGGAAAGCUGACCAGCCUAGUAAUAUCUCAUGUAUUUUCAACUUUAUAGAUCGUAGAUGCAAAAUAUAAGAUUUCAAAGCAAUUGAUUGAAGUCAUCGAUCGUGAGAAGAAAUUAAUCACUUGAAAAGUGACUAGUGGAGAUUUGUUGGAGUUGUACAAUUAUUCACCAUUAUCACAUCAUGUGAUCACCAAUGGGCUACGUGGACCUUUGUGUACGACAAGAAAACUGAUGGCAUACCAAAGCCGAUCAUGCUCCUGGGUUUUGCACUUCAUGUGACCAAAGACAUCAAAGGGUCAUCUUCUCAAUAUCCGGUACUCGCAAUGGAGCUCGCCUAAUCCAGAUUUGCGUCGCAUAGAGCCCAAUCGAGGGAAGCGCUCCCUAUCAAGGAUUUUUUCAUACUCAGGCUCGAACCCGAGACCCCUAAUUAGGGAGGAACAGUCUCAUCCGCUGCACUUUAUUUUCCCAGUUGCUUUUUUCUAUUGAUCUUAUCUAUUAACCUAAAAAAUAGUCAUUUCUUCGCUAGAUAUUUUUGCUUCUUGUUGCUCUUUGUUUUCUUCUUUUUCAUUUUUUGCUUAUUAUAGAUUUUUACAUGUAAGCAUUUCUUUUACUUUAUAUUUGUAUUACGAAAUUUGAGAAUUUCUGAAAAUUCUU